UAAGAUUGAAGUUCUCAAACAGAUUUGGUACUUCCAUUCCCAAAAUCAAAAUUUAAGAAAAAGACCUUCAGUUAUAGUGGAGCAACUCUUUGGAAUAACUUAUCAAUUACUGCAAAACAAUCCAAUUCUAUGAGUUGUUUCAAAAGACUAAUGAAGCUACAUUUUCGAAAACAAUAAUUAUGUAAAUAGUUUGUAUGUUUGUUAUUUAUUUAUGUUUGCUAAUUGUCUAAAGAAUAAUUAUGUCAAUAGUUUGUGUGCUGUAUAUGUAUUAGUCUUAAUCUUACACGUCCCCUAUGCCUAUGGAAAUCAUCGAAAGGUGUUAGGGCUAACGUGUUUAAAUAAUUUU
Paramuricea clavata is the source of this 346-nucleotide non-coding RNA. The record is from the annotation of a GenBank genome assembly. NCBI's taxonomy places the organism in Eukaryota, Metazoa, Cnidaria, Anthozoa, Malacalcyonacea, Plexauridae.